GUUUAUGUAGUUUAAUGGUAAAACUUUCGCUUCUUACGCGAACUCUGGUAGUUCGAUUCUACCCAUAAACG
Yarrowia lipolytica is the source of this 71-nucleotide non-coding RNA. The record is from Rfam. NCBI's taxonomy places the organism in Eukaryota, Fungi, Ascomycota, Dipodascomycetes, Dipodascales.